UUCAAACUUGUUGAGUUUGUUUUCUUUCCAUGGUACGCACCAAAGCACCAGUAGGGUUACAGUUCCAUUUCCGUUUGCAAUUUGCACACCAUGAUACAUCCAAAAAGUUCUAUUAACUGGAUCCCGUAUCCCUUGAAUCAUCUUUUUUCCUCCUGGAUUCCUAUGGUUCAAAUGCCGUCGUGCUUCCCGGUCCUUUUCAUUUAGUGCUUCGACCCGAAGGGAUAGCUUGAUGAUGGCAACCUCUCGAAUGAGAAGGCGUCUGCGGUAUGAAGAGAUAGCAACUUGGAUGCCAAGGGACAAAACGUCUGUCUUUGCAUGUAAAUGUCAUUGUUAUUGUUGCUGAUGAUGAUGCAGAUGCAAAAAUGGGCAAGCAACAGUCAGCGUAAAUCUGCUCCCUGAGUUGAAUUGGCCGUGCACCGCUUGCAAGUAUGCAUGGUGUACCAGAUAACGAGAAGACGGAAUUUCAGCAGGUCUACUGAUUUCUGCCUACUGACUUGUGAUUUUGUGAGCAUACACGCAUUGAAAGUACACCAGAGGUGUGGUUUGUUCACUAAACAUUCCAUGGAGAACCGAACUGUGCCCGGCAGCAGAGAGCGGAAGCGAGGAGAAGAUCAGAGAGUAACUGAUACCAUGUAAGAGUAGAGAGAGAGAUAUGUUGAUCCACGCUUUUAUUCAAUCAACAGGCAGUAGUAUAUAUACAUGCGGUAGGACUUAUCUAUCCUAACUGAUCGCUAGAGAGCCGGUCCUCGCAGGAGAGUAGCGUGAGGAUUUGAGAUCCCUGGCGAUCGGGGUGAGGCGUCGUGGAAGGAGCCGGUCCUGCAUGCAGGGAGUAGACGCGGCUGCAUGCCUAGGCGUGGGCGUGGGCGCCGCUGCAUGCAGGUAUAGCUUGCCCGCCAAGGCAGGAGCUACACCGGCUGGGAGUCCCACGUAGAAGCCUCCUGGGAGUUUGUUUCACCCCCCCCCCCCCCCCCCCCCCCCCCCCCGCGCCCANNNNNNNNCCCCCCCCCCCCCCCGGCAGUCGAUGCCUCGCCGUCGGAGAUGCAGAGGCCGGAGCGAAACUCCCGGAACACCGUCGGUGGAAGGCCCUUGGUCAUAACGUCGGCGAACUGUUGCGCCGUCGGAACAUGAAGAACGCGAACAUGCCCGAGUGCCACCUUCUCGCGGACGAAGUGGAUGUCGAGCUCGAUGUGCUUGGUGCGACGAUGAUGAACAAGGUUGGCGGAGAGGUACACCGCCGAGACAUUGUCGCAGUAGACCACCGUUGCUUUGGCGACACCACAGUGGAGCUCGGUGAGGAGUUGUCGGAGCCAGGAGCACUCGGCGACGGCAUUGGCGACGACGCGAUAUUCGGCCUCCGCGCUAGAGCGAGACACCGUGGGAUGUCGUUUAGACGACCACGAUACCAACGAAGGCCCCAUGUAGAUGCAGUAGCCGGAGGUAGAGCGACGAGUGUCCGGGCAGCCGGCCCAGUCAGCGUCAGAGUAGGCCACGAGGUCGAGCGACGAGGAGGCGGUGAGAGUGAGGCCGAGCGAAGGGGAGCCGCGGAUAUAGUGAAGGAUCCGCUUCACCAAGGUACAGUGCACGUCGCGCGAGGCAUGCAUAUGAAGACAGACCUGCUGGACGACAUACUGAAGGUCUGGACGGGUCAGCGUCAAGUAUUGGAGAGCGCCGACGAUGCUGCGAUAAAAGGAGGCGUCGGAGAAGGGCACGCCGGCCUGCCCGGAGACCUUGCCGGUGGUGUCGAUGGGUGUAGACGCCGUCUUGCAGUCGGACAUGCCAGCGCGCUCCAGGAGCUCGAGAGCAUAUUUCCGCUGGCAGAGGAAAAAGCCGUCGGAGCGGCGCGCGACCUCCACGCCAAGGAAGUAGUGGAGAGGCCCGAGAUCUUUCAAGGCAAACUCGCGCUGAAGGAGCCCGACGAGAUGACGAAGGAGAGCAUCGGUGGAGGCGGUGAGGACAAUGUCGUCGACGUACAGCAAGAGGUAAGCCAUGGCGUCGCCGCGGCGGUAGACGAACAGCGACGCGUCGGACCUGGCGAUGACGAAGCCGAUGCCGACCAGGAACGCGGUGAUGCGUUGGUACCAGGCGCGAGGGGCCUGUUUGAGCCCGUAGAGGGAGCGAGAGAGCAGGCAGACAUCAUUAGGGCGGGCGGAGUCGACGAAGCCGGCCGGCUGCUGAUAAAACACCUGCUCCGUCAGGUGUCCAUGGAGAAACGCGUUGGAGACGUCAAGCUGGUGGACGCCCCACCGGCGUGAGACGGCGAGCUGGAGGACGCAGCGAAUCGUGCCGGGUUUCACAACGGGGGCGAAGGUGUCGGUGAAGUCGAGCCCCGCACGUUGUCGAAAGCCCCGGACGACCCAGCGAGCCUUGUAGCGGUCCAGAGAGCCGUCAGGGCGGAGCUUAUGCCGAAAAACCCACCGGCCGCUGAUGAUGUGGGCACGAGGCGGGAGUGGAACGAGCUGCCAGGUGCGGUUCCGGAGAAGCGCAUCGUAUUCCUCCUGCAUGGCGGCGCGCCAGUGGGGGUCCCGGAGCGCCGAGUGGACGGACGGAGGAACCGGCGAAGGAGGGGCGGUGGUGGCGGCGCAGACGUACUCGGCGGAGGAGUACCGCUGGCUGGGACGACGAACCCCGGCGCGGGCGCGGGUGACGACGCCUGUCGGUGCAGGGGGCGGGGCGACCGCCCCUGGAGAAGGCGAGGAAGAGGCCGCCGGCGCUGGAGCCGUAGUGGAGGGAGUGGCGGCCGAAGCGGGCGACCCAGAGGGUGGAGUAGACUGGGCCGCACCACCAGCUGGCGAUGGAGACGCCACAUGCGGGGUCGAGGCGGCGGCGUCUGCAUGCGGUGGAGCGGACGAAGCCACGUGAGGAGAGGCGGCAGCUGCAUGCACGGGAGGAGACGUGCGCGCGCGGGGGCGGCCAGGGGUGCUGGGAGUAGAAGCACCGAAGAGCGCCGAGGUGCAGGCGACGAGGGUGCAGGCGCCGAGGACGAAACGAGAGCCUGCUGAAACGGAAAAACGGACUCGUCAAAGUGCACAUGGCGAGAGAUGAAGACGUGCCCAGAAGCCGGGUCGAAGCAACGGAAGCCCUUGGUGUUGGGAGGGUAGCCGAAGAAGACGCAGGGAACGGAUCGGGGAGCAAGCUUGUGCGGGGCGGUGGCAAGGAGAUUGGGGUAGCAGAGGCAGCUGAAGACCCGGAGGUUGUCAUAGGAGGGAGGGUGACCGAAGAAGAGGUGGUGGGGAGUGAAGUUGCCGCGAGUGCGGCAGGGGCGGAUGUUGAGAGUGUGGGUGGCGGUGUUGAGAGCCUCAGGCCAGUAGCGGUUGGGAACGGCAGCGUGUAGGAGGAGAGCGCGGACCGCGUCGUUGAGUGUGCGAAGAACGCGCUCAGCACGCCCAUUCUGCUGGGAUGUAUAGGGGCAGGUGAGGCGGAGUAUGGCGCCGUGGGCGGGGAGCAGAGAAUGCACACCGUGGUUGUCGAAUUCGCGCCCGUUGUCGGUUUGAAGACCGAGAAUGGGGCGGGAAAACUGUGUACGGACAAACGCAAAGAAGGAGGUAAGCGUAGAAAGCACGUCCGAUUUGGUGCGAAGGGGGAACGUCCAGACAAAGUGUGAAAAGUCAUCAAGAAGAACCAGAUAGUAUUGAAACCCGGAGUUGCUGAUGAUCGGAGAGGUCCAUACAUCACAGUGUAACAAUUCAAAGGAAAAACUAGAGACAUGAGUAGAGGAAGAAAAGGGAAGGCGGGUGCUCUUGCCCAAGCGACAAGCAGAACAAGAGUGGGGAGCACGUUUAUUACAAAUAAAGGAGCCACAACGAAGAAGGCGAUCCAUGGUGGAGGUGCCGGGGUGCCCGAGCCGAGCAUGCCAGAGGUCAACGCCGGCGAGAAGGGCGACAAGAGCACGGUUGGGGAGCGACGGCCGGAGCGGGUAGAGAUCGCCGGGGCUAUCACAUCGGAGAAGCACCGUCUUGGUCUGCAGGUCCUUAAUGGAGAAACCAAAGGGGUCAAAUUCAACGAAAACGGAAUUUUGGCGAGUAAGAGCACGAACGGAGACGAGAUUAGUAAUGAGAUGAGGAGAGACAAGCACGUCAUAAAGUUUGAUAGGAGAGUCAGAGGGGAGGGAGAGAGCACCGCGGUGGGUGAUGGGGAGAGAGGAGCCAUCCCCGACCACGAUGCGGGUGGAGGUAGGAAAGGGUUGAGAGUGAGAAAGGAUACCGAGGUGGGAAGCCAUGUGAGAGGACGCGCCGGUGUCCAUGAACCAGUCGCCGUUGCCGGAGUAGGUGGCCGGCGAGGGGGCCUGGUGCAGGGCCGCCAGGAGGGCGGGAUCCGGCAAAGCAGACGGAGCGCCGGAGUGACCGAGCCAAUGCGCCGGAAGCGCUGGCGGCCAGGUGGUGGGGGGCGGCGAGGGGUAGCCGCCGGGUGCGGCCAGCAGCGCCUGGUGGCUGGCUGGACGUGAGCCCAGUAUGCCCGGGUGCGGGGCACGGGUGGGAGGAAGAGCCCAUGCAUGGACUACCCCAGUCCACGGGUUGACCCCGCCGAACCAAGGCGCAGGCGCAGGUUCAGGAGAGGCAGCAGGGCGCCCGGCAGGAGCGGUGCCGGCGGCACGGGGGCGGCCGUCAGGGCCCCUCUUCUUCUUGCGAGCGUGGCCGGACGGAGAGGAGCCGGGCGUAGGAGACGGCGCCGCCGGGGGAGUGGUGCGCGCGGCGAGGGCGGCCUGGGAGCGCUGUAGGGUAGACUGGCGCAUCCGCCGUUCCUCGAGGCGCAGAUAGUUGACGGCGCGAGCGAACGUCGGUUCGGUGAGGAGGUUGAGGUUGGAGGCGGCGUUGGCGUAGUCCGAUCCGAGCCCACGGAUGAGGUUCGUGAGCAUGGUGGUGUCGGAGACGGGGGCGCCGACGUCGCGGAGCUCGUCGACGAGGACCUUGAGGCGAAGGCAGUAGUCGAAGAGCCCCAUGCCCUCCUGGGAGAGAUUGUAGAACUCCGUGGUGAGAAGGACUUGGCGCUGGAGUUGGUUGUCGAGGAAGAGCUGGUAGAUGGACGUCCAGACGCCGAGAGCCGAGUCGUCGCCGCGGAUGACGUGAGACAGAACCUCGGUGCUGAUGGUGCGGUAGAGCCACUUGAUGGUGGCGUCAAUCCCCAUCCAGUUGGCGUCGUCGUGCAUGGUGCGAGCGUCGACCGAGCCGUCGACGUGAUCCCGAAUCUGGAAUUCGCGGAACGUCAACGAGAAGUAGGUACGCCAGGUGGAGAAGGAGGGUGUGUGGAGGUCGAGCACAACGGGAACGUGGUCCUGGAUGUGGAUGAGGCGGAUGCUGGCGGCGGAGGCGGGUUCGAGGACGGCGAACGGGUUGAGGUCGUCGGAGAGAGGGGAGUGAGGGGAGCGAGGAGAGGCCAUGCCGGCAGCAGAGAGCGGAAGCGAGGAGAAGAUCAGAGAGUAACUGAUACCAUGUAAGAGUAGAGAGAGAGAUAUGUUGAUCCACGCUUUUAUUCAAUCAACAGGCAGUAGUAUAUAUACAUGCGGUAGGACUUAUCUAUCCUAACUGAUCGCUAGAGAGCCGGUCCUCGCAGGAGAGUAGCGUGGGCGAGGAUUUGAGAUCCCUGGCGAUCGGGAUGAGGCGUCGUGGAAGGAGCCGGUCCUGCAUGCAGGGAGUAGACGCGGCUGCAUGCCUGGGCGUGGGCGUGGGCGCCGCUGCAUGCAGGUAUAGCUUGCCCGCCAAGGCAGGAGCUACACCGGCUGGGAGUCCCACGUAGAAGCCUCCUGGGAGUUUGUUUCAUCAGGAACUUUUCCACAACAAAACAUAGAUCCACAUUUAAAAUAUAUAAAUAAAUAAAUAACGGUACUAGGUACAACCAUAUUGUGCUAUCAAACAGAGGUUUCUGUUUCCUCAAACAUAUCACAGAGUGCCUCAGGCUCAAGUGGACUGUGUGAACCAGCCAUACUUGUAUGGAGGCAGCAGGCUCAAGAGGACAAUGUGAACCAAGCAUAUGUGCAUGGGAGACGACGUGCUCAAAAGAAGCAAUGUGAACACUGGUGAGAACCGGCGCAGCAAAAUGGCGAUGCAGUGCCAUUGGAGAAGAGUGAAGAGCUCAUCUUCAUCCUUCCCCGAUGGACGCCAACACCCAUCACAACUAGGUUCCGCCACCCUGAGACCACCAUAUUAGAUCCUCCCAUGGUGGAAUGUCUAGCUGAGUUAAGAGGUGUAACUCUGUUUCUGUAGCUUCUCCCAAUGCAUAAAAUGCAUGGAUGCUCUACCUAGAUCUUUGUUUCCCUCCAAUAUUCCAGCUACUAAAUAUGAGUCUAUCUCACACAUCCCUCAAAUGAAAUGAUAAUAUGAGGCUACUUGCAUUCAUGGAGCAGUGGUCAUGGCACUAU
This 6352-nucleotide long non-coding RNA is filed under the name Hordeum vulgare. RNAcentral's name for it is "long non-coding RNA (HVUL_LNC011742)". Lineage: Eukaryota; Viridiplantae; Streptophyta; Magnoliopsida; Poales; Poaceae. The record is from RNAcentral.